RNAcentral lists this ribosomal RNA (498 nucleotides) under Sarima sp. NS-2013. RNAcentral's name for it is "partial 16S ribosomal RNA". Lineage: Eukaryota; Metazoa; Arthropoda; Insecta; Hemiptera; Issidae. The record is from RNAcentral.
AAAACCAGUUUUUAAGGGUUUAUUUAAAGUUUGGCCCGGUCCGGGAAAAUUUUUAAAAGCCCCGGGAUUUUAAAUGUGGUAAGGGAGCAUAAAAAUUUGUUUUUUAAAUGGGGUUUGGAAAGAAAGGUUUGACGGGAAAAUAACCUUAUUUUUUUUAUUUUUUUUAAAUUUAUUUUUUGGGUAAAAAACCUAAAAUUUUAAGAGGGGCGAUAAGACCCCAUAGAUUUUUAAAAUUAUUUGUAUUUUUUUUUUUUUGUUGUUUAUUUUUGAAUGUAAAUAUUUUUUUUAUUGGGGUGAUAGCAAAAAUUUUAGACUUUUGUUUAUUUUUACUUUUAUUUAUGGAUUUUUUGAUCUUUUUUUUAUGAUAAUAAGAUAAAGAUACCUUAGGGAUAACAGCGUUAUAAAAUUGGAGAGUUCUUAUUGAUAAUUUUGUUUGCGACCUCGAUGUUGGAUUAAAAUUUUACUGUGGUAUCAGGUAACACAGUUAUAGGUCACACG